CGGAAGGAUCAUUACAGAGUCAUUAUGGGUUAAUACCCUAAUACUCCACCCUUUGUUUACAUUACCUUUGUUGCUUUGACAGGCCCGUCUUGAACGCCGGCUUCUAGCUGGUCAGUGCCUGCCAGAGGACCUAAAACUCUUGUUUAAUCAUAUUGUCUGAGUACUAUAUAAUAGUUAAAACUUUCAACAACGGAUCUCUUGGUUCUGGCAUCGAUGAAGAACGCAGCGAAAUGCGAUAAGUAAUGUGAAUUGCAGAAUUCAGUGAAUCAUCGAAUCUUUGAACGCACAUUGCGCCCUCUGGUAUUCCGGGGGGCAUGCCUGUUCGAGCGUCAUUACAACCCUCAAGCUCUGCUUGGUAUUAAGCUUCGCCUGCAAUGGUGGGCUAUAAAAUCAAUGGCGGUGCCAUCUGGCUUCAAGCGUAGUAAAUUUUCUCGCUUUGGGGACCUGCUGAGUGCCUGCUAAACACUAAUUUUUUUUUGAAAAGGUUGACCCCCGGAUCCGGCAGGGAUACCCGCUGAACUUAAGCCAUAUCAAUAAGCGGAGGAAAAAGAAACUAACAGGGAUUGCCUNAGUAACGGCGAGUGAAGCGGCAACAGCCUCAAAUUGAAAUCUGGCCUUUUGGUUCGAGUUGUAAUUUGUAGAGGAUGCUUCGAACGUGGUCCCGUCUAAGUUUUCUUGGAACAGAAUGUCAUAGAAGGUGAGAAUCCGUAUGCGACUGGGUGCCUAAGUUCAUGUGAAGCUCCCUUCGAAGAGUCGAGUGUUUGGGAAUGCAGCUCAAAAUGGGUGGUAAAUU
Molecule: ribosomal RNA, 793 nt
Filed under: uncultured fungus
Lineage: Eukaryota; Fungi
Description: eukaryotic LSU rRNA
Rfam family: Eukaryotic large subunit ribosomal RNA (bases 488-793)
Source: RNAcentral